Molecule: ribosomal RNA, 497 nt
Filed under: uncultured bacterium
Lineage: Bacteria
Description: partial 16S ribosomal RNA
Rfam family: Bacterial small subunit ribosomal RNA
Source: RNAcentral
GAUGAACGCUGGCGGCGUGCCUAAUACAUGCAAGUCGAGCGAACGGACGAGAAGCUUGCUUCUCUGAUGUUAGCGGCGGACGGGUGAGUAACACGUGGAUAACCUACCUAUAAGACUGGGAUAACUUCGGGAAACCGGAGCUAAUACCGGAUAAUAUUUUGAACCGCAUGGUUCAAAAGUGAAAGACGGUCUUGCUGUCACUUAUAGAUGGAUCCGCGCUGCAUUAGCUAGUUGGUAGGGUAACGGCUUACCAAGGCAACGAUGCAUAGCCGACCUGAGAGGGUGAUCAGCCACACUGGAACUGAGACACGGUCCAGACUCCUACGGGAGGCAGCAGUAGGGAAUCUUCCGCAAUGGGCGAAAGCCUGACGGAGCAACGCCGCGUGAGUGAUGAAGGUCUUCGGAUCGUAAAACUCUGUUAUUAGGGAAGAACAUAUGUGUAAGUAACUGUGCACAUCUUGACGGUACCUAAUCAGAAAGCCACGGCUAACUACGUG